Girardinichthys multiradiatus is the source of this 734-nucleotide long non-coding RNA. RefSeq lists it as uncharacterized. NCBI's taxonomy places the organism in Eukaryota, Metazoa, Chordata, Actinopteri, Cyprinodontiformes, Goodeidae. The record is from RefSeq and is a predicted model, not a curated record. The transcript is spliced from 3 exons.
UCAGCCAAGUUUCACUCUUAGCAGGGCUCUGCUAAUGAAUUCUGCAUUCAGAGUCUAGUGUUCUUAGUGAAAGAUGAGACUGGCAUGAACAGAGAGGAGAAAGGAGAUGGGAAGAGAGAAACUUGGACCCAGUUAGAAAGGGGGUUGUGUUGGGCUGACGCUUUUAAGCUAAGAAGAACUUGUGAAAAGAAAGGGGAAGAAACAUAGAUGCACAAGAAAACUAUGACUGAAGAGAGUGGAAGAUAAAGAAGCAGUAAAGCCAGAAAAUGUGACCUUCCUGCUUGUUUUUAACAUAAGGAUUCGCUUCGAGAUCAAAAGGGAAAGAACAAGGGUGCACAGAUAAUCUGCUCUCCACCAGACUGACCGUGUAUUGCAAAAUGGACAGUUGUACAAUAUUAUUUCUAAUUUUGAGUGAUAGAUUCAAGAAUGCUUUCUGUGAUGUUCAAACCUUGAAAUAUUGUUUUUAUAAAUUUUACCUGUUUUAAACUUCUCCAUUAUUUUAUCCUUCACCUGUCUCGUGUUUAUUGAUUUUCAUGAUGUGGUUUGUUCCCUAAUGUUUUCUAACAAACCUCUGGGACCUUUGCAGAACAGCUGCAAUUAUACUAAGAUUAGAUCACACACAGGAAAACUCUAUUGACAUUUACGUAGCUUUUGACAUAGGGCUGCUUGACUAUGUAAAAAAAAAAAAAAAAGAAAAUCACCAUUAUUUAAAACUGAUUAGUCAUUGAGUUUAG